Molecule: ribosomal RNA, 497 nt
Filed under: uncultured bacterium
Lineage: Bacteria
Description: partial 16S ribosomal RNA
Rfam family: Bacterial small subunit ribosomal RNA
Source: RNAcentral
GAUGAACGCUGGCGGCGUGCCUAAUACAUGCAAGUCGAGCGAACGGACGAGAAGCUUGCUUCUCUGAUGUUAGCGGCGGACGGGUGAGUAACACGUGGAUAACCUACCUAUAAGACUGGGAUAACUUCGGGAAACCGGAGCUAAUACCGGAUAAUAUUUUGAACCGCAUGGUUCAAAAGUGGAAGACGGUCUUGCUGUCACUUAUAGAUGGAUUCGCGCUGCAUUAGCUAGUUGGUAAGGUAACGGCUUACCAAGGCAACGAUGCAUAGCCGACCUGAAGGGGUGAUCGGCCACACUGGAACUGAGACACGGUCCAGACUCCUACGGGAGGCAGCAGUAGGGAAUCUUCCGCAAUGGGCGAAAGCCUGACGGAGCGACGCCGCGUGAGUGAUGAAGGUCUUCGGAUCGUAAAACUCUGUUAUUAGGGAAGAACAUAUGUGUAAGUAACUGUGCACAUCUUGACGGUACCUAAUCAGAAAGCCACGGCUAACUACGUG